GCUCCGUAGGUGAACCUGCGGAGGGAUCAUUACAAGUGACCCCGGUCUUACCACCGGGAUGUUCAUAACCCUUUGUUGUCCGACUCUGUUGCCUCCGGGGCGACCCUGCCUUCGGGCGGGGGCUCCGGGUGGACACUUCAAACUCUUGCGUAACUUUGCAGUCUGAGUAAACUUAAUUAAUAAAUUAAAACUUUUAACAACGGAUCUCUUGGUUCUC
RNAcentral lists this unclassified non-coding RNA (217 nucleotides) under plant metagenome. RNAcentral describes it as "partial contains small subunit ribosomal RNA, internal transcribed spacer 1, and 5.8S ribosomal RNA". The record is from RNAcentral.